RNAcentral lists this ribosomal RNA (459 nucleotides) under uncultured bacterium. RNAcentral describes it as "partial 16S ribosomal RNA". It matches the Rfam family "Bacterial small subunit ribosomal RNA", at positions 338 to 795 of the family's 1533-position model. The record is from RNAcentral.
CCUACGGGGGGCAGCAGUGAGGAAUAUUGGUCAAUGGGCGAGAGCCUGAACCAGCCAAGUCGCGUGAGGGAAGACGGUCCUAUGGAUUGUAAACCUCGUUUGCCGGGGAGCAAAAAGCGGUACGUGUACCGCAUCGAGAGUACCCGGAGAAAACGCAUCGGCUAACUCGGUGACAGCAGCCGCGGUAAUACGGAGGAUGCGAGCGUUGUCCGGUUUUAUUGGGUUUAAAGGGAGCGCAGGCGGCGAGUUAAGUCAGCGGUAAAAUUUCGGGGCUCAACCCCGACAAGCCGUUGAUACUGGCUUGCUAGAGUGAGAGAGAGGUAUGCGGAAUGCGUGGUGUAGCGGUGAAAUGCAUAGAUAUCACGAAGAACUCCGAUUGCGAAGGCAGCAUACCGGCGCCCAACUGACGCUGAGGCACGAAAGCGUGGGUAUCGAACAGGAUUAGAUACCCUUGUAGUC